This 495-nucleotide ribosomal RNA is filed under the name uncultured bacterium. Its description in RNAcentral is "partial 16S ribosomal RNA". It matches the Rfam family "Bacterial small subunit ribosomal RNA", at positions 28 to 505 of the family's 1533-position model. The record is from RNAcentral.
GAUGAACGCUGGCGGCGUGCCUAAUACAUGCAAGUCGAGCGAACGGACGAGAAGCUUGCUUCUCUGAUGUUAGCGGCGGACGGGUGAGUAACACGUGGAUAACCUACCUAUAAGACUGGGAUAACUUCGGGAAACCGGAGCUAAUACCGGAUAAUAUUUUGAACCGCAUGGUUCAAAAGUAAAAGACGGUCUUGCUGUCACUUAUAGAUGGAUCCGCGCUGCAUUAGCUAGUUGGUAAGGUAACGGCUUACCAAGGCAACGAUGCAUAGCCGACCUGAGAGGGUGAUCGGCCACACUGGAACUGAGACACGGUCCAGACUCCUACGGGAGGCAGCAGUAGGGAAUCUUCCGCAAUGGGCGAAAGCCUGACGGAGCAACGCCGCGUGAGUGAUGAAGGUCGUCGGAUCGUAAAACUCUGUUAUUAGGGAAGAACAUAUGUGUAAGUAACUGUGCACAUCUUGACGGUACCUAAUCAGAAAGCCACGGCUAACUACG